UAAGACAGAGGUGCCAAGCGUUAGGCGGAAUCACUGGGCUUAAAGCGUGUGUAGGCGGACUUUUAAGUGCCUUGUGAAAUCCCACGGCUCAACCGUGGAAUGGCUGGGCAUACUGGGAGUCUUGAGCCACCUAGGGGUCGCUGGAACAAACGGUGGAGCGGUGAAAUGCGUAGAUAUCGUUUGGAACGCCAAAGGUGAAAACAGGCGACUGGGGGUGUGCUGACGCUGAGACACGAAAGCCAGGGGAGCAAACGGGAUUAGAUACCCCGGUAGUCCUGGCCCUAAACGAUGUCCACUAGAUCGUAGUGCCUCUGACGGUAUUGCGGUCGAAGCAAAAGUGCUAAGUGGACCGCCUGGGAAGUACGGUCGCAAGGCUA
Molecule: ribosomal RNA, 377 nt
Filed under: uncultured bacterium
Lineage: Bacteria
Description: bacterial SSU rRNA
Rfam family: Bacterial small subunit ribosomal RNA
Source: RNAcentral